AGGGAAUCUUCCACAAUGGACGCAAGUCUGAUGGAGCAACGCCGCGUGAGUGAAGAAGGUCUUCGGAUCGUAAAGCUCUGUUGUUGGUGAAGAAGGAUAGAGGCAGUAACUGGUCUUUAUUUGACGGUAAUCAACCAGAAAGUCACGGCUAACUACGUGCCAGCAGCCGCGGUAAUACGUAGGUGGCAAGCGUUGUCCGGAUUUAUUGGGCGUAAAGCGAGCGCAGGCGGAAUGAUAAGUCUGAUGUGAAAGCCCACGGCUCAACCGUGGAACUGCAUCGGAAACUGUCAUUCUUGAGUGCAGAAGAGGAGAGUGGAACUCCAUGUGUAGCGGUGGAAUGCGUAGAUAUAUGGAAGAACACCAGUGGCGAAGGCGGCUCUCUGGUCUGCAACUGACGCUGAGGCUCGAAAGCAUGGGUAGCGAACAGGAUUAGAUACCCUGGUAGUCCAUGCCGUAAACGA
RNAcentral lists this ribosomal RNA (461 nucleotides) under uncultured bacterium. RNAcentral describes it as "partial 16S ribosomal RNA". It matches the Rfam family "Bacterial small subunit ribosomal RNA", at positions 356 to 809 of the family's 1533-position model. The record is from RNAcentral.